RNAcentral lists this long non-coding RNA (252 nucleotides) under Helianthus annuus (common sunflower). RNAcentral describes it as "sRNA HanXRQr2_Chr14g0669381". Lineage: Eukaryota; Viridiplantae; Streptophyta; Magnoliopsida; Asterales; Asteraceae. The record is from RNAcentral.
AUGGCCAAUGCAACUUUCCCUUAGCAUUCGGCCGGUGGCGGCAACGCAACCGUUUGUCGGCAACGACAAUCCCCUUCGUCUUCUAUCUUCGAUUGCUACCCCAAUUUCAAUGUGAACCAGCGGCGGUGGUGAAAUCCCACAUAGACGUCUACUGGAUGGUGAAUGUGGAGGAGCGGGCUAUCUCGUAUUUGGAGGCCCAAGACCGCGUAACAAAAGGGGUUUCACUAAAAUGGCUCUAACUUGGGCUACGGG